RNAcentral lists this non-coding RNA (462 nucleotides) under Pan troglodytes (chimpanzee). The record is from RNAcentral. Lineage: Eukaryota; Metazoa; Chordata; Mammalia; Primates; Hominidae.
UCCCACAGCUCUUGGGCGUCAUUUAUUUUUUGCAUAGGCAUAAAUUAGGAUCUGGAGAUAAAAAACUUAAGAACCAAUAGUGCAGCAUUUGUGACAGGAGAGCGCAAAACAAAGCCUGGCUGCCUCGGGAUGGAGCAGGGGCGGCCUCACCACCACUGCAUCCAGCCUCAUGCUCCAGAGCGGAUUUGAGGCUCAGUGCUGCAGUGAAGGCCUGCCCGCCUUCUUGCCCCUUCCCCGCAGCCGGACCACCAGACACAGCCGGAACCAGUGCCCCAGGCCCCUCUCCACGGCCAGGAACAAGAAACUGAGUAUCACCCAUGCUGUUGGGUGACAAGGCCUUGGGCACAUGCUCUAAGGUAACGGCCGUGGGGCGGAUGCGGGCAGAGAGGCGGACCACGGCGAAGCCCUGUGGCCCCUGGAAGGCCCAGCAGUUGCCUGGGUGCACAUCUGGCUGGAGGAGCA